UGCGAACUCGUACGGGAGGCAGCAGUGAGGAAUAUUGGUCAAUGGGCGCGAGCCUGAACCAGCCAAGUAGCGUGCAGGAUGACGGCCCUAUGGGUUGUAAACUGCUUUUGUAUGGGGAUAAAGUCAAUCACGUGUGAUUGUUUGCAGGUACCAUACGAAUAAGGACCGGCUAAUUCCGUGCCAGCAGCCGCGGUAAUACAGAAGGUCCAGGCGUUAUCCGGAUUUAUUGGGUUUAAAGGGAGCGUAGGCUGGAGAUUAAGUGUGUUGUGAAAUGUAGACGCUCAACGUCUGAAUUGCGGCGCAUACUGGUUUCCUUGAGUACGCACAACGUUGGCGGAAUUCGUCGUGUAGCGGUGAAAUGCUUAGAUAUGACGAAGAACUCCGAUUGCGAAGGCAGCUGACGGGAGCGCAACUGACGCUUAAGCUCGAAGGUGCGGGUAUCAAACAGGAUUAGAUACCCUUGUAGUCCUGAGU
RNAcentral lists this ribosomal RNA (474 nucleotides) under uncultured bacterium. Its description in RNAcentral is "bacterial SSU rRNA". It matches the Rfam family "Bacterial small subunit ribosomal RNA", at positions 330 to 801 of the family's 1533-position model. The record is from RNAcentral.